RNAcentral lists this ribosomal RNA (433 nucleotides) under uncultured bacterium. RNAcentral describes it as "partial 16S ribosomal RNA". It matches the Rfam family "Bacterial small subunit ribosomal RNA", at positions 29 to 507 of the family's 1533-position model. The record is from RNAcentral.
AACGAACGCUGGCGGCAGGCCUAACACAUGCAAGUCGAGCGAGGACUUCGGUCCUAGCGGCGGACGGGUGAGUAACGCGUGGGAACGUGCCCUUUGCUUCGGAAUAGCCCUGGGAAACUGGGAGUAAUACCGGAUGAGCCCUUAGGGGGAAAGAUUUAUCGGCGAAGGAUCGGCCCGCGUUGGAUUAGGUAGUUGGUGGGGUAAUGGCCUACCAAGCCGACGAUCCAUAGCUGGUUUGAGAGGAUGAUCAGCCACACUGGGACUGAGACACGGCCCAGACUCCUGCGGGAGGCAGCAGUAGGGAAUCUUAGACAAUGGGGGAAACCCUGAUCUAGCCAUGCCGCGUGAGCGAUGAAGGCCUUAGGGUUGUAAAGCUCUUUCAGCUGGGAAGAUAAUGACGGUACCAGCAGAAGAAGCCCCGGCUAACUCCGUG